This 957-nucleotide ribosomal RNA is filed under the name uncultured bacterium. RNAcentral's name for it is "bacterial SSU rRNA". It matches the Rfam family "Bacterial small subunit ribosomal RNA", at positions 54 to 1003 of the family's 1533-position model. The record is from RNAcentral.
CAUGCAGUCGAGGGGCAGCAUGGUCUUAGCUUGCUAAGGCCGAUGGCGACCGGCGCACGGGUGAGUAACACGUAUCCAACCUGCCGUCUACUCUUGGACAGCCUUCUGAAAGGAAGAUUAAUACAAGAUGGCAUCAUGAGUCCGCAUGUUCACAUGAUUAAAGGUAUUCCGGUAGACGAUGGGGAUGCGUUCCAUUAGAUAGUAGGCGGGGUAACGGCCCACCUAGUCUUCGAUGGAUAGGGGUUCUGAGAGGAAGGUCCCCCACAUUGGAACUGAGACACGGUCCAAACUCCUACGGGAGGCAGCAGUGAGGAAUAUUGGUCAAUGGACGAGAGUCUGAACCAGCCAAGUAGCGUGAAGGAUGACUGCCCUAUGGGUUGUAAACUUCUUUUAUACGGGAAUAAAGUGAGCCACGUGUGGCUUUUUGUAUGUACCGUAUGAAUAAGGAUCGGCUAACUCCGUGCCAGCAGCCGCGGUAAUACGGAGGAUCCGAGCGUUAUCCGGAUUUAUUGGGUUUAAAGGGAGCGUAGGCGGGUUGUUAAGUCAGUUGUGAAAGUUUGCGGCUCAACCGUAAAAUUGCAGUUGAUACUGGCGACCUUGAGUGCAACAGAGGUAGACGGAAUUCGUGGUGUAGCGGUGAAAUGCUUAGAUAUCACGAAGAACUCCGAUUGCGAAGGCAGCUUACUGGAUUGUAACUGACGCUGAUGCUCGAAAGUGUGGGUAUCAAACAGGAUUAGAUACCCUGGUAGUCCACACAGUAAACGAUGAAUACUCGCUGUUGGCGAUAUACGGUCAGCGGCCAAGCGAAAGCAUUAAGUAUUCCACCUGGGGAGUACGCCGGCAACGGUGAAACUCAAAGGAAUUGACGGGGGCCCGCACAAGCGGAGGAACAUGUGGUUUAAUUCGAUGAUACGCGAGGAACCUUACCCGGGCUUAAAUUGCAACUGACUGAACCGG